RNAcentral lists this ribosomal RNA (468 nucleotides) under uncultured bacterium. Its description in RNAcentral is "partial 16S ribosomal RNA". It matches the Rfam family "Bacterial small subunit ribosomal RNA", at positions 28 to 507 of the family's 1533-position model. The record is from RNAcentral.
GACGAACGCUGGCGGCGUGCUUAACACAUGCAAGUCGAACGGAAAGGCCCUGCUUUUGUGGGGUGCUCGAGUGGCGAACGGGUGAGUAACACGUGAGUAACCUGCCCUUGACUUUGGGAUAACUUCAGGAAACUGGGGCUAAUCCCGGAUAGGAGCUCCUGCUGCAUGGUGGGGGUUGGAAAGUUUCGGCGGUUGGGGAUGGACGCGCGGCUUAUCAGCUUGUUGGUGGGGUAGUGGCUUACCAAGGCUUUGACGGGUAGCCGGCCUGAGAGGGUGACCGGCCACAUUAGGACUGAGAUACGGCCCAGACUCCUACGUGAGGCAGCGGUGGGGAGUAUUACACAGUGGGCGGGGGCCUGAUGCGACAACGCCGCGUGUGGGAUGACGGCCUGCGGGUAGUGAACCGCUGUCGCCUGUGACGAAGCGUGAGUGACGGUACUGGGUAAAGAAGCACCGGCUAACUACGUG